AUUGAACGCUGGCGGCAUGCUUUACACAUGCAAGUCGAACGGCAGCGCGGGCUUCGGCCUGGCGGCGAGUGGCGAACGGGUGAGUAAUGCAUCGGAACGUGCCCAGUAGUGGGGGAUAGCCCGGCGAAAGCCGGAUUAAUACCGCAUACGACCUGAGGGUGAAAGCGGGGGACCGAAAGGCCUCGCGCUAUUGGAGCGGCCGAUGUCGGAUUAGCUAGUUGGUGGGGUAAAGGCUUACCAAGGCGACGAUCCGUAGCUGGUCUGAGAGGACGACCAGCCACACUGGGACUGAGACACGGCCCAGACUCCUACGGGGGGCAGCAGUGGGGAAUUUUGGACAAAGGGGGCAACCCUGAUCCAGCCAUGCCGCGUGCGGGAAGAAGGCCUUCGGGUUGUAAACCGCUUUUGUUCGGGAAGAAAUCCUCUGGGCUAAUACCCCGGGGGGAUGACGGUACCGGAAGAAUAAGCACCGGCUAACUACGUG
This 484-nucleotide ribosomal RNA is filed under the name uncultured bacterium. Its description in RNAcentral is "partial 16S ribosomal RNA". It matches the Rfam family "Bacterial small subunit ribosomal RNA", at positions 28 to 507 of the family's 1533-position model. The record is from RNAcentral.